Molecule: ribosomal RNA, 497 nt
Filed under: uncultured bacterium
Lineage: Bacteria
Description: partial 16S ribosomal RNA
Rfam family: Bacterial small subunit ribosomal RNA
Source: RNAcentral
GAUGAACGCUGGCGGCGUGCCUAAUGCAUGCAAGUCGAGCGAACGGACGAGAAGCUUGCUUCUCUGAUGUUAGCGGCGGACGGGUGAGUAACACGUGGAUAACCUACCUAUAAGACUGGGAUAACUUCGGGAAACCGGAGCUAAUACCGGAUAAUAUUUUGAACCGCAUGGUUCAAAAGUGAAAGACGGUCUUGCUGUCACUUAUAGAUGGAUCCGCGCUGCAUUAGCUAGUUGGUAAGGUAACGGCUUACCAAGGCAACGAUGCAUAGCCGACCUGAGAGGGUGAUCGGCCACACUGGAACUGAGACACGGUCCAGACUCCUACGGGAGGCAGCAGUAGGGAAUCUUCCGCAAUGGGCGAAAGCCUGACGGAGCAACGCCGCGUGAGUGAUGAAGGUCUUCGGAUCGUAAAGCUCUGUUAUUAGGGAAGAACAUAUGUGUAAGUAACUGUGCACAUCUUGACGGUACCUAAUCAGAAAGCCACGGCUAACUACGUG